AUUAACGUAGCAGAACCUGGCCAUGCAAAAGACCUAAACCCUUUUAAUAGGGGCUCAAAUCCCCUCGUUAACC
This 73-nucleotide transfer RNA is filed under the name Synapturanus sp. MZUSP 159223. Its description in RNAcentral is "tRNA-Leu". It matches the Rfam family "tRNA". Rfam says of the family: Transfer RNA (tRNA) molecules are approximately 80 nucleotides in length. Their secondary structure includes four short double-helical elements and three loops (D, anti-codon, and T loops). The record is from RNAcentral. Lineage: Eukaryota; Metazoa; Chordata; Amphibia; Anura; Microhylidae.